Molecule: unclassified non-coding RNA, 280 nt
Filed under: Hevea brasiliensis (rubber tree)
Lineage: Eukaryota; Viridiplantae; Streptophyta; Magnoliopsida; Malpighiales; Euphorbiaceae
Source: RNAcentral
AGAAUUGGCAGGGCCUGGAAGAGAGGUUAUCUCCUGUAUGGUCCUCCAGGGACUGGUAAGUCCACUAUGAUUGCAGCCAUGGCCAAUCUUUUGAAUUAUGACAUUUAUGAUCUAGAAUUAACUGCUGUAAAGGACAACACUGAAUUGAGAAAGCUAUUAAUUGAGACAUCAAGCAAAUCUGUUGUUGUGAUAGAGGACAUUGAUUGUUCUCUUGAUCUCACUGGUCAAAGGAUGAAGAAAAAGGAAGAAGAAAAAGAUUGGCCAUGGCUGCAAUCAUAGU